CCUACGGGAGGCAGCAGUGGGGAAUAUUGGACAAUGGGCGGAACCCUGAUGCAGCAACGCCGCGUGAACGAUGAAGGGCUUCGGCAUGUAAAGCCCUAUCGUCAGGGAAGAAAAUGACGGUACCUGACUAAGAAGCCCCGUCUCAAUACGUGCCAGCAGACGCGGUAAUACUCAUGUGGCCAGCGUUAGCCGGAUUUACUGGGUGUAAAGGGAGCGUAGGGGGCCUUGCACGCUUUAUGUGAAAUACCGGGGCGUAACCCCGGGGCUGCAUUGGGAACUGUCAGGCUUGAGUGCCGGAGAGGCAGGCGGAAUUCCUAGUGUAGCGGUGAAAUGCGUAGAUAUUAGGAGGAACACCAGUGGCGAAGGCGGCCUGCUGGACGGUGACUGACGCUGAGGCUCGAAAGCGUGGGGAGCAAACAGGAUUAGAUACCCUUGUAGUC
This 440-nucleotide ribosomal RNA is filed under the name uncultured bacterium. RNAcentral describes it as "partial 16S ribosomal RNA". It matches the Rfam family "Bacterial small subunit ribosomal RNA", at positions 338 to 795 of the family's 1533-position model. The record is from RNAcentral.